AUGCCACCCACCAGACCUCUCCUCCACCGCGCACACACGCAUGUUCGUUCCCGGCCACCAGUCGCCUCCGACUCCGCGCGACGCACGCGCCCGCGAAAGUCGCCGCUGGAGGAGGACCCCGCGACGGCGCUCCCGGACGGCAUGCUCCUUGAGGUCUUCAAGCGGCUGCCGCCCCUCACAGAUGCCAUGCGCUGUGCCGCGGUGUGCUGGCGCUGGCGCCGCAUAGUCUCCUCUGGCGCACGCGUGGGCUGCCUCCCGGCCCCGCCCUGCCACUUCGGCUUCUUCCACAACUACCACACAUCUCCUCUGCCCCUGUUUGUCGCCACCGAGUCCAGCGUCGAUCUGGACGUCGGCGGCCUCCUCCCUCGUGUGGUGUCGAAGCGCGGCGUCGACAUCGUCGACGGCCGCGGCGGCCUGCUCGUCCUGCGCGAGCGCAGCAAAAAGUUCUGGGAGCUGAAUCUCGUCCUCUGCAGCCCGCUGGAGAGAUCAUACCGGCGGUUGCCGUCGGUGAAUAACUGA
This 519-nucleotide ribosomal RNA is filed under the name Triticum aestivum (bread wheat). RNAcentral describes it as "partial small subunit ribosomal RNA". The record is from RNAcentral. Lineage: Eukaryota; Viridiplantae; Streptophyta; Magnoliopsida; Poales; Poaceae.